UUCCAAGAACAGGAGCUGUGUUUUUUCGGUUAAUGGUGAUGGAGGAGAACUCAGCCAUUUUUCAGUUUUAACACCCUUUCUGGUAGCUGAGAGCAUGUUUGUAUCUGAGUGUUGCUGCAGUUCUACAAGAGACCUCGUGCUUUCCAAGCCCUUUUAUGUUCCUAGGUAAAAUGAAGUGUGCAAUUGUGGAAAAGAGCUUGAGACUGAACAGUUGUUGAAGGUUUCUGGUUCCAGUGGUUGGGACGUGGAUCUCAGCACUCAGAGAAUGAGUUUGAAGAAACUGACAAGGAAGAAUGAGAAGAAAAGGAGAAAUGGA
Long non-coding RNA from Tyto alba (common barn owl), 316 nucleotides. RefSeq lists it as uncharacterized. Lineage: Eukaryota; Metazoa; Chordata; Aves; Strigiformes; Tytonidae. The record is from RefSeq and is a predicted model, not a curated record. The transcript has 2 exons.